RNAcentral lists this ribosomal RNA (465 nucleotides) under uncultured bacterium. Its description in RNAcentral is "partial 16S ribosomal RNA". It matches the Rfam family "Bacterial small subunit ribosomal RNA", at positions 338 to 795 of the family's 1533-position model. The record is from RNAcentral.
CCUACGGGUGGCAGCAGUAGGGAAUUUUCGUCAAUGGGCGCAAGCCUGAACGAGCGAUGCCGCGUGAGUGAAGACGGCCUUCGGGUCUUAAAGCUCUGUUGCGGGGGAAAAAAGGCAGCAUCAGGAAAUGGGUGCUGACUGAUGGUGCCCCGCCAGAAAGUCACGGCUAACUACGUGCCAGCAGCCGCGGUAAGACGUAGGUGGCGAGCGUUCGCCGGAAUGAUUGGGCGUAAAGGGUGCGCGGGCGGUCCUGCAAGUGGGGAGUGAAAGGCAUGAGCUCAACUCAUGCAUGGCUUUGGAAACUGGAGGACUGGAGAGCAGGAGAGGGCGGGGGAACUCCAUGUGUAGCGGUAAAAUGCGUAGAUAUAUGGAAGAACAACAGUGGCGAAGGCGGCCGCCUGGCCUGUUGCUGACGCUGAGGCACGAAAGCGUGGGGAGCAAAUAGGAUUAGAUACCCUUGUAGUC